Molecule: ribosomal RNA, 744 nt
Filed under: uncultured bacterium
Lineage: Bacteria
Description: bacterial SSU rRNA
Rfam family: Bacterial small subunit ribosomal RNA
Source: RNAcentral
AGUCGAGGGGCAGCGAGUAGAUUGCUUGCAAUCUACGUCGGCGACCGGCGCACGGGUGCGUAACGCGUAUGCAACCUACCCAUUACAGGGGGAUAACACUGAGAAAUCGGUACUAAUACCCCAUAACAUCCAGGGAGGCAUCUUCUUGGGUUGAAAACUCCGGUGGUAAUGGAUGGGCAUGCGUUGUAUUAGUUAGUUGGUGGGGUAACGGCUCACCAAGACGACGAUACAUAGGGGGACUGAGAGGUUAACCCCCCACAUUGGUACUGAGACACGGACCAAACUCCUACGGGAGGCAGCAGUGAGGAAUAUUGGUCAAUGGACGCAAGUCUGAACCAGCCAUGCCGCGUGCAGGAAGACGGCUCUAUGAGUUGUAAACUGCUUUUGUACGAGGGUAAACGCAGAUACGUGUAUCUGUCUGAAAGUAUCGUACGAAUAAGGAUCGGCUAACUCCGUGCCAGCAGCCGCGGUAAUACGGAGGAUUCAAGCGUUAUCCGGAUUUAUUGGGUUUAAAGGGUGCGUAGGCGGUCGGAUAAGUUAGAGGUGAAAUCCCGGGGCUCAACUUCGGAAUUGCCUCUGAUACUGUUCGGCUAGAGAGUAGUUGCGGUAGGCGGAAUGUAUGGUGUAGCGGUGAAAUGCUUAGAGAUCAUACAGAACACCGAUUGCGAAGGCAGCUUACCAAGCUACUUCUGACGUUGAGGCACGAAAGCGUGGGGAGCAAACAGGAUUAGAUACCCUGGUAGU